Molecule: ribosomal RNA, 305 nt
Filed under: uncultured bacterium
Lineage: Bacteria
Description: bacterial SSU rRNA
Rfam family: Bacterial small subunit ribosomal RNA
Source: RNAcentral
UACCUACGGGGGCAGCAGUGGGGAAUAUUGCACAAUGGGGAAACCCUGAUGCAGCGACGCCGCGUGAAGGACGAAGUAUUUCGGUACGUAAACUUCUAUCAGCAGGGAAGAAAAUGACGGUACCUGACCAAGAAGCCCCGGCUAACUACGUGCCAGCAGCCGCGGUAAUACGUAGGGGGCAAGCGUUAUCCGGAUUUACUGGGUGUAAAGGGAGCGUAGACGGCAAUGCAAGUCUGGAGUGAAAGGCGGGGGCCCAACCCCCGGACUGCUCUGGAAACUGUAUAGCUGGAGUGCAGGAGAGGUAA